This is a long non-coding RNA of Helianthus annuus (common sunflower), 701 nucleotides long. RefSeq lists it as uncharacterized. NCBI's taxonomy places the organism in Eukaryota, Viridiplantae, Streptophyta, Magnoliopsida, Asterales, Asteraceae. The record is from RefSeq and is a predicted model, not a curated record. The transcript has 4 exons.
UGUUUUUCUACACGAGACCUCAAAACUACGCUCACAGCGGCUACAUGCCAAUUGCCAGAAGUCAUGAAACGCCUGUUGCUGCUCCACAAGUUGACCCGAACUUCACCAGAAGUAUAUCUGAUAGCGGACCAGGGCUCAGAAUUUGUGAACCAUUUAUCUCCCAUCCCGGAGAAGUUAGACAGAUUCCCAUUGAGGUCAAGGAUGAGCCCGGCCCCACUACAUAAUCAGAACGUUCCUGACAUGCUCCUAGAAUCGAGGAUGUCACAGAGACUGCAACAGAAAAUGUCCCAGAGACCAAGUGCUCCACAAGCAGUCUCUCUAGUCUCUAUCUUUAAAGACUGCCGAGCAAGAGAAAGCUUUACGCCAACAAGGAACUGAAGUGGAACGCAUCAGAACGGAAGGUUCUAAUCACUUAUACUCAUGAUUGUUGCUUCCUUUUCAGUUUACUAACCGAUCUCCAUUUAAAAAUUUCAUGUUUUUAUACACGAGAUCUAUAGACUGCAACUCGCAGCCCAAUACAAGACCCAAAGACUGCAGCUCACAUCUCAGCACUAGUUGGAAGUUGGGAGCUCAUCAAUUCCAGAUGAAGUUGAAGAAGCAGAAGAACAACCUCUGGUUUGAAACAGUAGUCGACUUAUGUCCUCUCAAUCUAUUGAUUCUGCUGAAGACAUUGAAGAAGUACACCUAAACUUACUCUCCAG